AUGCAAGCAUUGGAACUAGGAUAUGUAUCAUAUGACAGGAUUCUGUACAGCAGGAAGAGGGCUGGAGUAAUUAAUCCAGGAGACUCCAUCUGGACUGAGAUAUCUCAAAACCAGACUUGCCUGGCACUCAUUUGGAAGAUGGGAAUCCUCACAUUUUAUGUUGAGUAUUCUACUGAUUUAUGUAGAUCAUUCUACUACCUACUGCCUUCAUUUUUUCUUUUCCUUAAUUGCUGGUAGUAGAUCAUUCUACUACUAGCAAGCAAUGAAGGAAGAGGAAAAAUAACUGCAUAUGAUGAAGGCUCUUCCCUGUUUAAAGACUGUUGAUUUACUCAAAUAAUUGAUUAUACUGGUGUAAUGAAUGCAUUGAAAACUGGGUUUUCAGUUCAAGUCAAAUUAAACUUCUACAUAUACUGGAAAGCUUGAAAUGUAUCUGAUUUUGCUGCUGUAAGGAAUAUAAAUAAUUCAUUAUUGUUUUUAUGAUGGAAUACUGGAUAACAUGCUUAUCUCCUUCCCAUAAAAUCUUUCCUUCCAAAGAUCCAAAGGUUUGAAAAUAUCCCCUUUGUCCUAUUGCACAAAUAGGACCUACAUAUAAACUAGGUUAUAAACUUAAGGUGAUAUCUUUAACCUUUUAAAUUUCAAAAUUAAAGGUGGUGUUGUUAAAGGUACAGUCAUACCAAAUAAGAAUAGAGAUAAAAUAAUUUGAUAACCAGAGAGAGCUUACUGUGUACAUACCUGCUUGAGUAUAUGUACAGGCAAAUUGAUUUAUUUUAUGCACUUAUUCCUACUAUUAAAUUUAACAGAAAGCUACAGAAUAUUGUCUUAUCAAAAGAUCCAAAUUUAUCAUUUCUAGACUAUAAACACUUCACCUGCAAAUGACAGGCAGCUGCCUUUGUACUCUCUGACAUAACAGGCCCAGGCUAAGCAGAGGCCAACCAAAGCAGAGUGAGGGCAAACAACUGGCACAUUUGUCUUGAAGAUAAACUCUUGAACUGAAAUAGAAAAUUAAGGGUCAGAACUACUUAGGAUCAAAAUUAAAGCAAUUUCCUCAAGGAAAUUCCUUGUGAGUAGAAUAAUGUGGUAGAGAAGGAAACAUGGUAAUUUACUUGAAGUGUUUUCCUUUUUUUUUUUUUUUUUUUUUUUUUUUUGUGGGGGGGAGCAGGGUGUGGAUAGGGAUACACAGUCUUGAUAUAUUGGGUUUGCUGUAGUGAAUUGC
This 1213-nucleotide long non-coding RNA is filed under the name Taeniopygia guttata (zebra finch). RNAcentral's name for it is "lncRNA (ENSTGUG00000020544.1)". Lineage: Eukaryota; Metazoa; Chordata; Aves; Passeriformes; Estrildidae. The record is from RNAcentral.